GAGGGUGUAAGCUCAGGGGUAGAGCAUGUGCUUAGCAUGCACACUGUCCUGGGUUCAGUCCCCAGUACCUCCA
RNAcentral lists this transfer RNA (73 nucleotides) under Camelus bactrianus (Bactrian camel). It matches the Rfam family "tRNA". Rfam says of the family: Transfer RNA (tRNA) molecules are approximately 80 nucleotides in length. The record is from Rfam by way of RNAcentral. RNAcentral also lists the same sequence under 2 other names. Lineage: Eukaryota; Metazoa; Chordata; Mammalia; Artiodactyla; Camelidae.